This 158-nucleotide unclassified non-coding RNA is filed under the name uncultured Ascomycota. RNAcentral's name for it is "sequence contains ITS1". The record is from RNAcentral. Lineage: Eukaryota; Fungi; Ascomycota.
CAGAGUUCUUGCCCUUACGGGUAGAUCUCCCACCCUUGAUAUCUAUUCUCUUGUUGCUUUGGCGGGACGCUUCUUGCCACGGGCUACGGUCCGUGAGUGCCCGCCAGAGACCCAAUCAACUCUUGUUUAUGUGUCGUCUGAGUACUAUAUAAUAGUUA